UUGAUCCUGGCUCAGAAUCAACGCUGGCGGCGUGCCUAACACAUGCAAGUCGAACGCGAAAGUCCCGCAAGGGAUGAGUAGAGUGGCAAACGGGUGAGUAACGCGUGGGUGACCUGCCUUCGAGUGGGGGAUAACGUCUCGAAAGGGACGCUAAUACUGCAUAACAUCCCGCCUUUUAAGAGGUGGAGAUCAAAGCCUGGGACCGCAAGGCCAGGCGCUUGAUGAGGGGCCCGCGUCUGAUUAGCUAGUUGGUGGGGUAAUGGCUCACCAAGGCAUCGAUCAGUAUCCGGCCUGAGAGGGCGGACGGACACACUGGGACUGAGACACGGCCCAGACUCCUACGGGAGGCAGCAGUGGGGAAUUGUUCGCAAUGGGCGCAAGCCUGACGACGCAACGCCGCGUGGAGGAUGAAGACCUUCGGGUCGUAAACUCCUUUCGAUCGAGACGAAUGGCCUUCGGGUAAACAGCCUGGAGGAGUGAC
RNAcentral lists this ribosomal RNA (481 nucleotides) under uncultured bacterium. RNAcentral's name for it is "bacterial SSU rRNA". It matches the Rfam family "Bacterial small subunit ribosomal RNA", at positions 13 to 473 of the family's 1533-position model. The record is from RNAcentral.